This 497-nucleotide ribosomal RNA is filed under the name uncultured bacterium. RNAcentral's name for it is "partial 16S ribosomal RNA". It matches the Rfam family "Bacterial small subunit ribosomal RNA", at positions 28 to 507 of the family's 1533-position model. The record is from RNAcentral.
GAUGAACGCUGGCGGCGUGCCUAAUACAUGCAAGUCGAGCGAACAGACGAGGAGCUUGCUCCUCUGACGUUAGCGGCGGACGGGUGAGUAACACGUGGAUAACCUACCUAUAAGACUGGGAUAACUUCGGGAAACCGGAGCUAAUACCGGAUAAUAUAUUGAACCGCAUGGUUCAAUAGUGAAGGACGGUUUUGCUGUCACUUAUAGAUGGAUCCGCGCCGCAUUAGCUAGUUGGUAAGGUAACGGCUUACCAAGGCAACGAUGCGUAGCCGACCUGAGAGGGUGAUCGGCCACACUGGAACUGAGACACGGUCCAGACUCCUACGGGAGGCAGCAGUAGGGAAUCUUCCGCAAUGGGCGAAAGCCUGACGGAGCAACGCCGCGUGAGUGAUGAAGGUCUUCGGAUCGUAAAAUUCUGUUAUUAGGGAAGAACAAAUGUGUAAGUAACUAUGCACGUCUUGACGGUACCUAAUCAGAAAGCCACGGCUAACUACGUG